GACGAACGCUGGCGGCGUGCUUAACACAUGCAAGUCGAACGGAAAGGCGCUGCUUUUGUGGGGUGCUCGAUUGGCGAACGGGUGAGUAACACGUGAGUAACCUGCCCUUGACUUUGGGAUAACUUCAGGAAACUGGGGCUAAUACCGGAUAGGAGCUCCUGCUGCAUGGUGGGGGUUGGAAAGUUUCGGCGGUUGGGGAUGGACUCGCGGCUUAUCCGCUUGUUGGUGGGGUAGUGGCUUACCAAGGCUUUGACGGGUAGCCGGCCUGAGAGGGUGACCGGCGACAUUGGGACUGAGAUACGGAGCAGACUCCUACGGGAGGCAGCAGUGGGGAAUAUUGCACAAUGGGCGGAAGCCUGAUGCAGCAACGCCGCGUGCGGGAUGACGGCCUUCGGGUUGUAAACCGCUUUCGCCUGUGACGAAGCGUGAGUGACGGUAAUGGGUAAAGAAGCACCGGCUAACUACGUG
This 468-nucleotide ribosomal RNA is filed under the name uncultured bacterium. RNAcentral describes it as "partial 16S ribosomal RNA". It matches the Rfam family "Bacterial small subunit ribosomal RNA", at positions 28 to 507 of the family's 1533-position model. The record is from RNAcentral.